UGAGGAAUAUUGGUCAAUGGGCGGAAGCCUGAACCAGCCAAGUAGCGUGCAGGAUGACGGCCCUACGGGUUGUAAACUGCUUUUUGCGGGAAUAAAGUGGCCCACGUGUGGGCCUUUGCAUGUACCGCACGAAUAAGGACCGGCUAAUUCCGUGCC
This 156-nucleotide ribosomal RNA is filed under the name uncultured bacterium. Its description in RNAcentral is "partial 16S ribosomal RNA". It matches the Rfam family "Bacterial small subunit ribosomal RNA", at positions 355 to 509 of the family's 1533-position model. The record is from RNAcentral.